RNAcentral lists this ribosomal RNA (465 nucleotides) under uncultured Klebsiella sp. RNAcentral's name for it is "bacterial SSU rRNA". It matches the Rfam family "Bacterial small subunit ribosomal RNA", at positions 338 to 795 of the family's 1533-position model. The record is from RNAcentral. Lineage: Bacteria; Pseudomonadati; Pseudomonadota; Gammaproteobacteria; Enterobacterales; Enterobacteriaceae.
CCUACGGGCGGCAGCAGUGGGGAAUAUUGCACAAUGGGCGCAAGCCUGAUGCAGCCAUGCCGCGUGUGUGAAGAAGGCCUUCGGGUUGUAAAGCACUUUCAGCGGGGAGGAAGGCGUUAAGGUUAAUAACCUUGUCGAUUGACGUUACCCGCAGAAGAAGCACCGGCUAACUCCGUGCCAGCAGCCGCGGUAAUACGGAGGGUGCAAGCGUUAAUCGGAAUUACUGGGCGUAAAGCGCACGCAGGCGGUCUGUCAAGUCGGAUGUGAAAUCCCCGGGCUCAACCUGGGAACUGCAUUCGAAACUGGCAGGCUAGAGUCUUGUAGAGGGGGGUAGAAUUCCAGGUGUAGCGGUGAAAUGCGUAGAGAUCUGGAGGAAUACCGGUGGCGAAGGCGGCUCCCUGGACAAAGACUGACGCUCAGGUGCGAAAGCGUGGGGAGCAAACAGGAUUAGAUACCCGGGUAGUC